This is a long non-coding RNA of Mastomys coucha (southern multimammate mouse), 465 nucleotides long. RefSeq lists it as uncharacterized. The transcript is spliced from 2 exons. The record is from RefSeq and is a predicted model, not a curated record. NCBI's taxonomy places the organism in Eukaryota, Metazoa, Chordata, Mammalia, Rodentia, Muridae.
UCAACAGCCUGCCGCAGGCUUCGGAUCCUGUGGAUACUUAUAGUAUGGGGGUGGGCAACAAGGAACAGUGGCCAUCAGGUACCCUUCCUGCCCCAUCGUCACAUGUGCUGAAUUGGGUGUGCACACUCCAGGCCUCAGGGCUCACAGCACCCGCUUUUUGGCUUCAGGCAGUGUCGGGCAGAGGCCUUGGUUUGCCCCUCACAGCACCACUGCAGCCUGCCUGCAUACGUCUGCAGCUUUACAGCCACACACAUCCGGGCCUGCUCCCCUCACACUCAGUUUUACCAAGACACGCCACAGACUUAGAGGUCGAUUGAUCAUCGCCCCUACUGUGUAACUCGUGGAGGACCAUGAAGAGUGUUAGAAGAUGCAUGGCUGAAUGUGGCCUCCCUCCAGGAACUGCCUGGGAAGUGACAUUGCAAAGGAACAGGUAGACAUGCGAGACUUAGAUGGCCUCUUGUUAGG